Molecule: transfer RNA, 75 nt
Filed under: Candidatus Heimdallarchaeota archaeon
Lineage: Archaea; Promethearchaeati; Candidatus Heimdallarchaeota
Also listed under: 4 other names
Description: tRNA-Arg
Rfam family: tRNA
About the family: Transfer RNA (tRNA) molecules are approximately 80 nucleotides in length. Their secondary structure includes four short double-helical elements and three loops (D, anti-codon, and T loops). Further hydrogen bonds mediate the characteristic L-shaped molecular structure. tRNAs have two regions of fundamental functional importance: the anti-codon, which is responsible for specific mRNA codon recognition, and the 3' end, to which the tRNAs corresponding amino acid is attached (by aminoacyl-tRNA synthetases). tRNAs cope with the degeneracy of the genetic code in two manners: having more than one tRNA (with a specific anti-codon) for a particular amino acid; and 'wobble' base-pairing, i.e. permitting non-standard base-pairing at the 3rd anti-codon position.
Source: RNAcentral
GGAUCCGUGGCUCAGCCUGGAUAGAGCGUCUGGCUUCGGACCAGAAUGUCGUGGGUUCAAAUCCCUCCGGAUCCG